This 330-nucleotide ribosomal RNA is filed under the name uncultured eukaryote. RNAcentral's name for it is "partial 18S ribosomal RNA". It matches the Rfam family "Eukaryotic small subunit ribosomal RNA", at positions 1470 to 1796 of the family's 1831-position model. The record is from RNAcentral.
CCCUUAGAUGUUCUGGGCCGCACGCGCGCUACACUGACGAAUGCAACGAGCUUAUAAUAACCUUGGCCGAAAGGUCUGGGUAAUCUCCAAAUUUCGUCGUGAUGGGGAUAGAUUAUUGCAAUUAUUAAUCUUCAACGAGGAAUGCCUAGUAAGCGCAAGUCAUCAGCUUGCGUUGAUUACGUCCCUGCCCUUUGUAUACACCGCCCGUCGCUCCUACCGAUUGAAUGGUCCGGUGAAGCGUUCGGACCGUGGCCUUUGGACGGUUCGCCGUCUGUUGGCUGCGGGAAGUUCGUUAAACCUUAUCAUUUAGAGGAAGGAGAAGUCGUAACA